GAUGAACGCUGGCGGCGUGCCUAAUACAUGCAAGUCGAGCGAACAGAUGAGGAGCUUGCUCCUCUGACGUUAGCGGCGGACGGGUGAGUAACACGUGGAUAACCUACCUAUAAGACUGGGAUAACUUCGGGAAACCGGAGCUAAUACCGGAUAAUAUAUUGAACCGCAUGGUUCAAUAGUGAAAGACGGUUUUGCUGUCACUUAUAGAUGGAUCCGCGCCGCAUUAGCUAGUUGGUAAGGUAACGGCUUACCAAGGCAACGAUGCGUAGCCGACCUGAGAGGGUGAUCGGCCACACUGGAACUGAGACACGGUCCAGACUCCUACGGGAGGCAGCAGUAGGGAAUCUGCCGCAAUGGGCGAAAGCCUGACGGAGCAACGCCGCGUGAGUGAUGGAGGUCUUCGGAUCGUAAAACUCUGUUAUUAGGGAAGAACAAAUGUGUAAGUAACUAUGCACGUCUUGACGGUACCUAAUCAGAAAGCCACGGCUAACUACGG
This 496-nucleotide ribosomal RNA is filed under the name uncultured bacterium. RNAcentral's name for it is "partial 16S ribosomal RNA". It matches the Rfam family "Bacterial small subunit ribosomal RNA", at positions 28 to 506 of the family's 1533-position model. The record is from RNAcentral.